GCUCGUGUGUUCUAGUGGUUGGAAAAUAUGUCGCCUUGACUUUCAUGUUUUGCUCGACGUCGUGAGUUCAAGUCUCACCCCGCGCA
Molecule: non-coding RNA, 86 nt
Organism: Favolaschia claudopus
Lineage: Eukaryota; Fungi; Basidiomycota; Agaricomycetes; Agaricales; Mycenaceae
Source: the annotation of a GenBank genome assembly